UACUCGCCUUGGGCUGUAGAGCAGAGU
This 27-nucleotide non-coding RNA is filed under the name Cricetulus griseus (Chinese hamster). The record is from RNAcentral. Lineage: Eukaryota; Metazoa; Chordata; Mammalia; Rodentia; Cricetidae.